UUAAAUGUAAGCCAUAAUACUGAGAAUAAUAAUCUAUUCAAUUUUGUAAUGCCAUAGGCUUUCAAAAAAGCUCUCUCUUCCUAGUUCAUAAUUCACCAGCGAGGUGUAGCAGUCAGUUUCAGGAAAAAGCUGCGAAACUCAAGCCCUCUCCCACCCCUCCAAAACGCACAUUAAAGAAGACAACUUCGUCUGGCAGAGAGCGACAAAUUCUUGCGGUAGAGCAAUCUCUGGAGGAUCUCUCUCCACCCCACCCCCUCCCAAGCUUCUCCAUCCAGCUCUGAACACAAACCCAGAAGCAAGCAAGGCUGGCCUCCAAGAUUCAAGGGGGGUUGGGGAAUGGCUGCCUGAAUCUGGACGGCAAACAGAUUUCGGCUUUUAAGGUUCCUAUUGUUCAGGCAACACUCAAAUAAAGAUAUGAUCAAAUGAAGCUGCAGUUCCACCAAAGGGAAGCUGCCCUUUCAUCUGACAGAGUUUCCUAAUUUGAAGUUAAAAAGGGAAGUGCAGCCAUGUAUCCUUUGCAAGAUUUCUCUUCAGGCACAACGUGCUUGGAUCCUUUAAAAAAAUAUUAAUAUGAGGGUAUUUCAUAUUUAUUUGGAGCUUUAGCCUCCUCAGCCCAUCCAUCCAGAAAACACAGCAGGGAAACGCUAAACUGACGAACAAUAUAAGAGACAUUCGGUCCCUUCCCCUCCAUGUGACGCGAGAGACAAAGAUUGUGCCACCGGUGGCAACUCAGGAUAAGUCGACGCCUCCUUUGCAACAUCAAGUGACAGCCAGCACGCGUGAAAGGACCGUCUUAGAUCA
Molecule: long non-coding RNA, 801 nt
Organism: Lacerta agilis (Sand lizard)
Lineage: Eukaryota; Metazoa; Chordata; Lepidosauria; Squamata; Lacertidae
Exons: 3
Source: RefSeq, a predicted model, not a curated record